AUAUUUUUAUUUUUCCUAAUUUUACAUGUUUCCAAGCAAGGCUUGCCUUGGUUCUUCCCUGCCCUCUAUUUUUCUUCAUGUUCCAUUGUGGAUUCCUUUUUUCAUUUUGUAACUAGUCAUUUUAACUUGAUAUUAAUAGAACCUGCAAUUUUCUCAGUAAUCUUCAGUGAUGGUUUGGAUUUCUUAAAAAAUAAAUCAAAUCUCAUGUGUUCAAUAGAUAUCAUCAAGGUGAUAGGAUGUGUGCCUAACCGGGAAAUGUUGCCCUGCAAAUUCAUUUAGAGAGAUGUUUUCUGAGGUUAUGUGAAUGGAAUCAAGUCAAAGACUUGCAUCCAAAACUAUGAGAAAAUAAAUUCCUUGUUUAAGCCACCCAGUCUGUGGCACUUUGUCAUGGCAGCCCUAGUAAACUAAUAUACCCUGCUCCCACAAGGAGCUGUCUGCAGACACAGACCAUUGAUUAUGGGCUAGAGGCAGAAAUUCUGGUUUGAGACUGGGAUCCCAGGCAAAGCUCCCCAGAGUCAAAUGUGGAGUAGAAUGUUUUAUAAGCUUCUUGCCUUUGCAUGGAUUUUUCCAAUCUCUGACACAAACGUUUCCAUGGUGACUGCAAAUAAGUUAAAGAAUUCUUGGAUCCCUUCUUCCAAGUUCCCUCGAUUACGUAUGCCCAAGGGUUCUCUAAGGAUCCUAAAUGAUGGGGGAGGAGGCAUCCCCAAACAUACCUGUACUUGAAGGUCCCUUCCCCCUUGAGAGAGGCCCUGGGCAAUACGAUAUUCAUUGGACUUCUGUGAGGGCUGAAGAAUGAAGAGUGACGCAUUCCAGGCCUGCAAGACUGACCCUCAAUAAAAAUCCUGGACACCAAGGCUCAGCAGGGUAAGAGCAACCUAACUGAUUGGUGAGUUUAGCUGAAGAAGUGGACAUCUCACUGGGAGUUGGCCUGUCCACGAAACAUGUGCUCUGCCUGGUCAGCUUGAUGUCAUGCAGUGAGAAGCCUGGCCCCACAGAGAAGGCCUCUGGGGACCCAGCCCUGUGGUGAUCAGGUGAGUUUCAUUCUGGGCUACAGUGGCACCAAUCCUGUCGGCCAAAGACCAAAAUGCACAUUCUCCAGGCAGCAUUGUGAGCAAUAACAAUAAUAUUAAUUCUUCCAUCCAGUUGGUUCUGGAAUACUUCUCAAACUGUUUUGAAUUUGGAUGAUGGGGAAAAGGGAAGCUCUUUAUUAACCCCAUAAAACCACACACACACAAAAAAAAAGAGAGAAAAAAGCCAAGUGAGCUCCCAGAGACCAUCUCAAGGGGAAAUGAGACUCUGAGCUAGAAAAUGACAGAGAAUAUGGGGCAUGUUGGAACCUUGGUCCUAACCUCAAAAUUGGCAGCUGGUUCUCCUCCAUAUAAAAUAGAAAAAUAGAAAAUGUGGAAAACAGGUCAAGAGAGCCAGCCCGGGACAAAGAUCGGCACCCAGGUGUCGACUGACCUACAGACCUCCAUGAGCCACUGACCUUCAUGAGCCACGCAGCUCAGACAACAUUCAGUAGGGGGAGGAGGGGCAGGACUCCUAGGAGAGCCUGUGAACCACAAACAGUGAACCUCAGAAAAGCACUGGGGAUGAGGGAUGAA
Long non-coding RNA from Zalophus californianus (California sea lion), 1604 nucleotides. RefSeq lists it as uncharacterized. The transcript has 3 exons. The record is from RefSeq and is a predicted model, not a curated record. Lineage: Eukaryota; Metazoa; Chordata; Mammalia; Carnivora; Otariidae.